CACGUAGGGGGCAAGCGUUGUCCGGAUUUAUUGGGCGUAAAGAGCUCGUAGGCGGUUCGAUAAGUCGGGUGUGAAACCUCCAGGCUCAACCUGGAGACGCCACCCGAUACUGUCGUGACUAGAGUCCAGUAGGGGAGCGUGGAAUUCCUGGUGUAGCGGUGAAAUGCGCAGAUAUCAGGAGGAACACCGAUGGCGAAGGCAGAUCUCUGGGCCGUAACUGACGCUGAGGAGCGAAAGCGUGGGGAGCGAACAGG
RNAcentral lists this ribosomal RNA (254 nucleotides) under uncultured bacterium. Its description in RNAcentral is "partial 16S ribosomal RNA". It matches the Rfam family "Bacterial small subunit ribosomal RNA", at positions 524 to 776 of the family's 1533-position model. The record is from RNAcentral.